UUUAUUUAAUUCCACAUUGAUAGAAUUCAAAAAGUACAAAGAAUACUCUAUGACAAUAAUUUAUUUAAUACAUGUACACUUUAUUUAGUCCCACAUUGAUAGGAUUCAAAAAGUACAAAAAAUACUAUAUAAUUUAUUUAACUACACUUUUUUAGUCCCAUAUCGAUAUAAUUCAAAAAGCACAAAGAAGGUUGGCCUAUAAAUAAAGAUUCAUUUUGUCUAAAACAAACAUGAAGUCUUAAGAGUGGGAGGAG
This 254-nucleotide long non-coding RNA is filed under the name Zostera marina. RNAcentral describes it as "long non-coding RNA (ZMAR_LNC003442)". Lineage: Eukaryota; Viridiplantae; Streptophyta; Magnoliopsida; Alismatales; Zosteraceae. The record is from RNAcentral.